GGAUGAGCUCAAGCUUAAAAUCUCCGUGCAAUUUUUGCGCGGCGAAUUGUAGUCUAUAGAAGCGUGGUCAGUAUGGGCACUUGGGUUAAGUUCCUUGGAAGAGGACAGCAUGGAGGGUGAUACUCCCGUUCAUCCCUAAGUUGCUUGUGCGUACGACCCGUUUUCUUUGAGUCGCGUUGUUUGAGAAUGCAGCGCAAAGUAGGUGGUAAAUUCCAUCUAAAGCUAAAUAUUGGUGCGAGACCGAUAGCAUACAAGUACCGUGAGGGAAAGAUGAAAAGAACUUUGAAAAUAGAGUUAAAGAGUACCUGAAACUGCUGAAAGGUAACCAAAUCGUUUCCAGUGUCUAUAAUCCGUGGUAUAUUUCAUUGGCGAGCGUAUGCGUGCGUGUGCUGUUGCAGUGGCCUUUUUGGCUGCGCUCGGCGUGUGUGCUGUGUGUGCUUGCUGGUGCCCUGUGCUAUGGUGGGACGUCAAGGUCAGUUCGUAUGCUGCGGGAAAUGGCCACUGAGGAGGUAGGGCUUACGCUUGCGUUUGUCUGUUAUAUCUUGGUGGACGAGUAGUCGCGGUUGGGACUGAGGUGCCUACAACGUGCUUUUGAGUGGAUUUGGGUCUCCGUGUGCGCCGUGUGCGGAUAGCUUGCUAUGCGUGUGUGGUUGUGUAUGGAUUGAUGCGAGUCGUAACUUGUAGCCGUUCGGGACGUUGACG
Molecule: ribosomal RNA, 702 nt
Filed under: Plasmopara viticola
Lineage: Eukaryota; Oomycota; Peronosporomycetes; Peronosporales; Peronosporaceae
Description: eukaryotic LSU rRNA
Rfam family: Eukaryotic large subunit ribosomal RNA
Source: RNAcentral